GCAGUAGGGAAUCUUCCGCAAUGGACGAAAGUCUGACGGAGCAACGCCGCGUGAACGAUGAAGGUUUUCGGAUCGUAAAGUUCUGUUGUUAGGGAAGAACAAGUACCGUUCAAAUAGGGCGGUACCUUGACGGUACCUAACCAGAAAGCCACGGCUAACUACGUGCCAGCAGCCGCGGUAAUACGUAGGUGGCAAGCGUUGUCCGGAAUUAUUGGGCGUAAAGCGCGCGCAGGCGGUUUUUUAAGUCUGAUGUGAAAUCUCGAGGCUCAACCUCGAGCGGCCAUUGGAAACUGGGAGACUUGAGUGCAGAAGAGGAGAGUGGAAUUCCAUGUGUAGCGGUGAAAUGCGUAGAUAUAUGGAGGAACACCAGUGGCGAAGGCGACUCUCUGGUCUGUAACUGACGCUGAGGCGCGAAAGCGUGGGGAGCAAACAGGAUUAGAUACCCUGGUAGUCCACGCCGUAAACGAUGAGUGCUAGGUGUUAGGGGUUUCGAUGCCCUUAGUGCCGAAGUUAACACAUUAAGCACUCCGCCUGGGGAGUACGACCGCAAGGUUGAAACUCAAAGGAAUUGACGG
This 575-nucleotide ribosomal RNA is filed under the name uncultured Bacillota bacterium. RNAcentral's name for it is "bacterial SSU rRNA". It matches the Rfam family "Bacterial small subunit ribosomal RNA", at positions 351 to 916 of the family's 1533-position model. The record is from RNAcentral. Lineage: Bacteria; Bacillati; Bacillota.